ACCCAAACUCUUAUGUCUUUAGUGGUUUUCUCCUCUGAGUGACACAUAAACAAAUAAAUAAAAACUUUCAACAACGGAUCUCUUGGUUCUGGCAUCGAUGAAGAACGCAGCGAAAUGCGAUAAGUAAUUCUGGCGGGCAUGCCUGUUCGAGCGUCAUUU
This 159-nucleotide ribosomal RNA is filed under the name Paramyrothecium roridum. RNAcentral describes it as "5.8S rRNA". The stretch from base 63 to 156 matches the Rfam family "5.8S ribosomal RNA". From Rfam's summary of the family: 5.8S ribosomal RNA (5.8S rRNA) is a component of the large subunit of the eukaryotic ribosome. Lineage: Eukaryota; Fungi; Ascomycota; Sordariomycetes; Hypocreales; Stachybotryaceae. The record is from RNAcentral.